AGCAGCCGCGGUAAUUCCAGCUCCAAUAGCGUAUAUUAAAGUUGCUGCAGUUAAAAAGCUCGUAGUUGAAUUUCGGGAUCAAUAUGUUGGUCGUGCCUCGGUACGUAUUAGCUUAUUGGUUUCUUCCUUCUGACGAACCAUGAUGUCAUUUAUUUGGUGUCGUGGGGAAUCAGGACUGUUACUUUGAAAAAAAUUAGAGUGUUUAAAGCAGGCUCACGCUUGAAUACAUUAGCAUGGAAUAAUGAAAUAGGACGUUUGAUUCUAUUUUGUUGGUUUCUAGGAUCGACGUAAUGAUUAAUAGGGAUAGUUGGGGGCAUUAGUAUUCAAUUGUCAGAGGUGAAAUUCUUGGAUUUAUUGAAGACUAACUACUGCGAAAGCAUUUGCCAAGGAUGUUUUCAUUAAUCAAGAACGAAAGUUAGGGGAUCGAAGACGAUCAGAUACCGUCGUAGUCUUAACCAUAAACUAUGCCGACUAGGGAUCGGAUGAUGUUAAUUUUUUAAUGACUCAUUCGGCGCCUUAC
RNAcentral lists this ribosomal RNA (520 nucleotides) under uncultured Glomus. RNAcentral's name for it is "SSU rRNA". It matches the Rfam family "Eukaryotic small subunit ribosomal RNA", at positions 569 to 1091 of the family's 1831-position model. Lineage: Eukaryota; Fungi; Glomeromycota; Glomeromycetes; Glomerales; Glomeraceae. The record is from RNAcentral.